RNAcentral lists this non-coding RNA (30 nucleotides) under Homo sapiens (human). Lineage: Eukaryota; Metazoa; Chordata; Mammalia; Primates; Hominidae. The record is from RNAcentral.
GCCGAAUGUGUGCUCGUGGGUCCUGCCCUC